Dreissena polymorpha is the source of this 1536-nucleotide long non-coding RNA. RefSeq lists it as uncharacterized. The transcript is spliced from 2 exons. The record is from RefSeq and is a predicted model, not a curated record. Lineage: Eukaryota; Metazoa; Mollusca; Bivalvia; Myida; Dreissenidae.
GUGACAUGUUUUAAUUGAGUUUGAUAUGUUUAUUAAAACAAAAUUAUUGGAAGGGAUGCAUGCAGCUACUGCGAAUACCCAUUCAUUCAGUAAUUUAUUAAAUAAAAUGUAAAAAUUACAAUGAUACAUAUGACCUAUGCCUCUUAUAGAAAAAGAAAGUAGAAUACAACCACCAAAUUAAGGACAAGAGGGUAAAAACAAACACUUCUCAUUUCCAUAAAAUUUUUGCAGUAUUCUUUGCACAUUUCAGCGUCUAAUUCUUAAAUUAGAUAAUUUGGAUUUUCCAUCUUAUGCCGUUUAUGCAAAGACCUAUAUAUAGAAGGAUAAGAAACUCUCGUUUUGCCUAUCGCGUUUUUCUAUACUGCCUCCCAGCAGACGUGAUUCCGCGAGAGUCAGGUGCGCGUAGUUUGGAGAUGCCGGAAAUGGAAUUAAAUCCGCCGUUUAUCGCCAUUUUGUUUAAUCGAGUGCAUCAUUCAUUAUCGUAUUUUUCUUACAUUUAGCUAGAUAUAUAUUCUCCUGACUUGAAUUGGGAAGGAGACUUUGGAGCUGUGACAUCUGAGGGUACACGUUAUUCGUCAACUAUCAGGUCAUCAUCGUGUGAAUUGUUAACACCAAGAAAACUAAAUUGCAUCAAAUGCAAAAAUUACAGUUAUGCACUUGCGAAAAGGAAAAAGCGCUUGGGUGAUAGAAUAAUUCAUCCUAGGAAAUUCAGCCAUUCCAGCUUUAAACACUCAGAUAUGACCCGGGAUGAAUUGUGCCUUAAACUAAAGGAGCAAAAAGGAGAAAUUAGUGACUUAACAAAUACUGUAUGGAAAUUAAAAAGACAAUAUGAGAAUUCGAUAAGGAAGGAGGGUGUUUCAGUUAAGGAGCAUGAAAGUUUGGAAUUAAGCUCGUGAAUGGAUUCCUGAAGUGAACAAUUUAAGCAUUGCUUCCCAGAUAGUAACAAACGCAGCAAAUGCCAAAAAUGUCCGUACGCAAAAACAACGUAAUGCAAAAUUUUUAUUACACUAGUGAAAUGUGAAAAAUAUGUAAUGACUUUAUGCGAGUCAAACAUGUGAUAAGUAGAAUUAUUAUGUUGUAAUCUGAUUUUAUAAUAUAUUAUGUAUAGAAUUACUAUGUUGUUCUCUAAAUGUUGAUUUUAUGUAUAUAGUAUUCUAUAUGUAGUUUGCAUUGCAUGUAGAAUAGUAUCUAUAGUUUAUAUGUGUCACGUUCUGAGAAAACUGUGCAUAAUACCUGUGCGUAAAGCGUUAUCCCAGAUUAGCAUGUGCAGUCCUCACAGGCUAAUCAGGGACGACACUGUACGCCUUGUUAAGAUUUUUGGUAAGAAGAGACUUUUUUUAACAAAAAAUAACAUAAAAGCUGAAGUGUCGUCCCUGAUUAGCAUGUGCGGACUGCAAAGGCUAAUCUAGGAUGACACUUUACGCACAUGCAUUAAGCCCAGUUUUCUCAGAACAAGGCUCAUUUCUAUCUCGUACAAAUUUAUUACUGUUCAUACUCAUGAUAAUAUGAAAGAAAAUUAAAAUUAUGUUCUCCUGA